RNAcentral lists this transfer RNA (71 nucleotides) under Sediminibacterium goheungense. RNAcentral's name for it is "tRNA-Cys". It matches the Rfam family "tRNA". Rfam says of the family: Transfer RNA (tRNA) molecules are approximately 80 nucleotides in length. Their secondary structure includes four short double-helical elements and three loops (D, anti-codon, and T loops). The record is from RNAcentral. Lineage: Bacteria; Pseudomonadati; Bacteroidota; Chitinophagia; Chitinophagales; Chitinophagaceae.
AGUCACGUGGCCGAGAGGAUAGGCUGAGGUCUGCAAAACCUUCUACGAUGGUUCGAAUCCAUCCGUGACGU